RNAcentral lists this small RNA (28 nucleotides) under Bombyx mori (domestic silkworm). Its description in RNAcentral is "ovarian small RNA-18123". The record is from RNAcentral. Lineage: Eukaryota; Metazoa; Arthropoda; Insecta; Lepidoptera; Bombycidae.
UAAACAUAAUUGAUAACCUACAAUACAA